GACGAACGCUGGCGGCGUGCUUAACACAUGCAAGUCGAACGGAAAGGCCCUGCUUUUGUGGGGUGCUCGAGUGGCGAACGGGUGAGUAACACGUGAGUAACCUGCCCUUGACUUUGGGAUAACUUCAGGAAACUGGGGCUAAUACCGGAUAGGAGCUCCUGCUGCAUGGUGGGGGUUGGAAAGUUUCGGCGGUUGGGGAUGGACUCGCGGCUUAUCAGCUUGUUGGUGGGGUAGUGGCUUACCAAGGCUUUGACGGGUAGCCGGCCUGAGAGGGUGACCGGCCCCAUUGGGACUGAGAUACGGCCCAGACUCCUACGGGAGGAAGCGGGGGGGAAUAUUGCACAAUGGGCGGAAGCCUGAUGCAACAACGCCGCGGGCGGGAUGACGGCCUUCGGGUGGUAAACCGCUUUCGCCUGUGACGAAGCGUGAGGGACGGUAAUGGGUAAAGAAGCACCGGCUAACUACGU
Molecule: ribosomal RNA, 467 nt
Filed under: uncultured bacterium
Lineage: Bacteria
Description: partial 16S ribosomal RNA
Rfam family: Bacterial small subunit ribosomal RNA
Source: RNAcentral